ACGGCGUAAAGCUGUCGCUAAAGGAUGGACCUGCGAUGCAUUAGCUAGUUUGGUUAAGGUAAACGGCUUACCUAAGGCGAUGAUGCAUAGCCGAGUUGAGAGACUGAUCGGCCACAUUGGGACUGAGACACGGCCCAAACUCCUACGGGAGGCAGCAGUAGGGAAUCUUCCACAAUGGACGCAAGUCUGAUGGAAGCAACGCCGCGUGAGUGAAGAAGGUUUUCGGAUCGUAAAGCUCUGUUGUUGGUGAAGAAGGAUAGAGGUAGUAACUGGCCUUUAUUUUGACGGUAAUCAACCAGAAAGUCACGGGCUAACUACGUGCCAGCAGCCGCGGUAAAU
Molecule: ribosomal RNA, 339 nt
Filed under: uncultured Lactobacillus sp.
Lineage: Bacteria; Bacillati; Bacillota; Bacilli; Lactobacillales; Lactobacillaceae
Description: bacterial SSU rRNA
Rfam family: Bacterial small subunit ribosomal RNA
Source: RNAcentral